AAACAAAUGUCCAUUCACAAAUACAAAAUAUAGUAAUACAAAUACUUGCAGCAAUUCUGAUAUUUGCAGUCGGCCGUGUGGACGUCGAAGAACAUCAAAUGGCACUAUCGGAGCAUAACGAAGCGUAUUAUCCCCCUUCGAUUUUCGUCAGUUUUCCCCCAUCAUCAUCCAUUCUUCUUCUCCGUCGUCGAUUGUAAACAGAUUUCCCUUUUUGGUGCGAAUGCACCCGAGACUUGGAACUCGUACAGGAAUUUGCAUUUUGCACUGUUGUACUGGCUGGAAUAAUCAAUAGUCACACUGCAAAUUGUUGCAUGCAUGGAUAGUUUGGCUUCUUCUACUUCCCUGCGAGACCCCAAGCGUUGGUGACUAACCAUUGGACGAUCCAGCCAAUAGCGUUUAGCGUUUCUGAUCGCAAGUCAGUCAUCAUAUCAACCCCCCGCCUUCACUUCUUAAGGGACACAUCUGCAGUUCCUAAUUAGACUUUUCCGUUUCGAUUUGAGCUAUGGAUUGGAACAGGCUACCGCAUAAGUGUCACCGUUUGCCGCUCUGCUGACACGACUAUCCUUACCGAAAAUUACCGAAAAUCUCCUACAAUAACCUCAAGGAUACGUCGGACAUAGCAACUAAGGUUGAAUAAUGCCGCCCGUCGUCAUACGAGUGGGAUCGGCCAUUCGGAGAUAAGACUGUGAGAUCCGGUGAGAGAGGCAUGCUGGACGUGGUUAGGCGCGUGUUCAGUAGGAUUGAACGUUGUUAGCUGGGCUGGAUGCAUUAGGAUCGUUC
RNAcentral lists this small RNA (780 nucleotides) under Cryptococcus neoformans H99. Its description in RNAcentral is "Cryptococcus neoformans var. grubii H99 hypothetical RNA". The record is from RNAcentral. Lineage: Eukaryota; Fungi; Basidiomycota; Tremellomycetes; Tremellales; Cryptococcaceae.